UGAACCUGCGGAAGGAUCAUUAUUGAAUGAACUUGGCGUGGUUGUUGCUGGCCCUCUCGGGGGCAUGUGCACACCCGCCAUCUCCAUCUCUCCACCUGUGCACCUCUUGUAGACUGGAAUAGACUUUCCGAGGCAACUCGGUCGGGAGGAAUGCUGUCGCUUUGCGUCGGCUUUCUUUGCACUUCCAAGCCUAUGUUUUUCAUAUACCCGUAGUAUGUAACAGAAUGUAUCAUUUGGGCCUCAGUGCCUAUAAACCAUAUACAACUUUCAGCAACGGAUCUCUUGGCUCUCGCAUCGAUGAAGAACGCAGCGAAAUGCGAUAAGUAAUGUGAAUUGCAGAAUUCAGUGAAUCAUCGAAUCUUUGAACGCACCUUGCGCUCCUUGGUAUUCCGAGGAGCAUGCCUGUUUGAGUGUCAUUUAAUUCUCAACCUUAUUAGCUUUUGCUGAUAAUGGCUUGGAUGUGGGGGUUCUCUUUUGCUGGCUUCUUUUCAUAGAGGUCAGCUCCCCUGAAAUGCAUUAGCUGGUGCCCCGCGUGGACUGUCUAUUUGGUGUGAUAAUUAUCAACGCCGUGGAUGUCUGCAAUUGGUUUUGGCACUGCUUCUAACUGUCUGUUCAUUUGGACAACACAUGACAAUUUGACCUCAAUCAGGU
This 651-nucleotide ribosomal RNA is filed under the name Hymenogaster griseus. RNAcentral's name for it is "eukaryotic LSU rRNA". The stretch from base 263 to 416 matches the Rfam family "5.8S ribosomal RNA". The record is from RNAcentral. Lineage: Eukaryota; Fungi; Basidiomycota; Agaricomycetes; Agaricales; Hymenogastraceae.